UCUAAUAUGGCAGAAUAGUGCAAUGGACUUAAACCCCAUAAAUAAAGGCCAUCCUUUUUUUAGAA
Molecule: transfer RNA, 65 nt
Filed under: Adelium sp. NCS-2009
Lineage: Eukaryota; Metazoa; Arthropoda; Insecta; Coleoptera; Tenebrionidae
Description: tRNA-Leu
Rfam family: tRNA
About the family: Transfer RNA (tRNA) molecules are approximately 80 nucleotides in length. Their secondary structure includes four short double-helical elements and three loops (D, anti-codon, and T loops).
Source: RNAcentral